Molecule: transfer RNA, 74 nt
Filed under: Fukomys damarensis (Damara mole-rat)
Lineage: Eukaryota; Metazoa; Chordata; Mammalia; Rodentia; Bathyergidae
Rfam family: tRNA
About the family: Transfer RNA (tRNA) molecules are approximately 80 nucleotides in length. Their secondary structure includes four short double-helical elements and three loops (D, anti-codon, and T loops).
Source: Rfam by way of RNAcentral
GGGGAUUUAGCUCAGUGGUUCUGGUGCCUGCCUUGCAAGCAGCAAGGGCCUGAGUUCGAUCCCCAGUACCCCCC